RNAcentral lists this ribosomal RNA (253 nucleotides) under uncultured bacterium. RNAcentral describes it as "partial 16S ribosomal RNA". It matches the Rfam family "Bacterial small subunit ribosomal RNA", at positions 524 to 776 of the family's 1533-position model. The record is from RNAcentral.
UACGUAGGUGGCGAGCGUUGUCCGGAUUUACUGGGCGUAAAGAGCGCGCAGGCGGUCGUACAAGUCGCGUGUGAAAGCCCCCGGCUCAACUGGGGAGGGUCACGCGAUACUGUUCGACUCGAAGGCAGGAGAGGGUAGUGGAAUUCCCGGUGUAGUGGUGAAAUGCGUAGAUAUCUGGAGGAACACCGGUGGCGAGGGCGGCAUCCUGGACCGGUAUUGACGCUGAGGCGCGAAAGCUAGGGGAGCAAACGGG